Molecule: unclassified non-coding RNA, 401 nt
Filed under: Hevea brasiliensis (rubber tree)
Lineage: Eukaryota; Viridiplantae; Streptophyta; Magnoliopsida; Malpighiales; Euphorbiaceae
Source: RNAcentral
GGUCCCUAAAAGUUACCCUAAAAGUAAAUAAAAGAUAAGGAGUGGAUAGGAAAUGAGGUGUAAAAUUAUCCAAGUCAGCAGCACUAUUCACGUUCUGGGCAUUCUGCUUAGGGUUCGGCUUAACCCUAAGCNNNNNNNNNNUUUAGCAGAUUUCAGCUUCUGGUCGCACUGUCUGCUUAAGGUUAAGCAGACCUUCAGCAAAUCUCGACAGACUUAUAGUAAAAUGGACUUUUCUGCUCAUGCUUGACUUGUGUUGCACCUUAAGCANNNNUUGCCGCUUUACCCUAAGCAUGAUCUUAAGCAAAGCCUCAAGCAAAUUUCGGCUGGUUUGCUUUUUCAAGGUUUGAUUUCUUUAACUUUCCUCCAUGCUUAAAGAACUCCAAAUUUCUUCAAAUCACUUC